Long non-coding RNA from Arabidopsis thaliana (thale cress), 266 nucleotides. RefSeq annotates it as other RNA. The transcript has a single exon. The record is from RefSeq. NCBI's taxonomy places the organism in Eukaryota, Viridiplantae, Streptophyta, Magnoliopsida, Brassicales, Brassicaceae.
CGGAUUUAGGGAUAAGAGGCGCGGAGACGCCGGAGGAAGAGCGAGGCGGUGGAGGAGCACGACGGGAGGAAGAAAGGGAUUUGAAUUGGAUGCGGCGAUUCUCGAGGUAUUGAUAGAAAGCGGAGAAGACGAAGCAAGCGAUUAAAGUGAGGAUGUAACUAAGCCAUGAGUCAGUUUUCCAGAAAUCGAAGAGAAUUGUGGCUUUGAUUCCCCAGUAGAAGGUCAUGUGCAUCAUCUUUGCGAGCUUGAUUUGAGCUGCUUUGAUU